UACGUAGGAGGCGAGCGUUAUCCGGAAUCACUGGGCGUAAAGCGCUGGUAGGCGGUUUGGUAGGUGCGCGGUGAAAGCCCCUGGCUUACCCAGGGAGGGUCCGCGCAUACCGCCCGACUCGAGGCAAGCAGAGGGCCGUGGAACGUCCGGGGGAGUGGUGGAAUGCGUAGAUCUCGGACGGAACACCAGAGGCGAAGGCGGCGGCCUGGGCUUGAUCUGACGCUGAGCGGCGAAAGCGUGGGGAGCGAACAGG
Molecule: unclassified non-coding RNA, 253 nt
Filed under: uncultured bacterium
Lineage: Bacteria
Description: contains 16S-23S intergenic spacer region
Rfam family: Bacterial small subunit ribosomal RNA
Source: RNAcentral